RNAcentral lists this ribosomal RNA (332 nucleotides) under uncultured Coriobacteriales bacterium. Its description in RNAcentral is "partial 16S ribosomal RNA". The record is from RNAcentral. Lineage: Bacteria; Bacillati; Actinomycetota; Coriobacteriia; Coriobacteriales.
GGAGUUUGGACCGUCUCUCAGUUCCAAUGUGGCCGGUCAUCCUCUCAGAUCGGCUACCGAUCGUCGACUUGGUGGGCCGUUACCUCACCAACUAUCUAAUCGGACGCGAACUCACCCCAAACCGGAUUGCUCCUUUUACCCCUGGGCCAUGCGACCCCGUGGUCUCAUGCGGUAUUAGCACCUGUUUCCAAGUGUUAUUCCCCUGUCUGGGACAGAUUGUUCACGCGUUACUCACCCGUCCGCCACUAGAAUUACCAACCUUCCAGCCGAAGCCUUCCGCUCGGUAAUCCCCGUUCGACUUGCAUGUGUUAAGCACGCCGCCAGCGUUCGUC